GAUGAACGCUGGCGGCGUGCCUAACACAUGCAAGUCGAGCGAUUCUCUUCGGAGAAGAGCGGCGGACGGGUGAGUAACGCGUGGGUAACCUGCCCUGUACACACGGAUAACAUACCGAAAGGUAUGCUAAUACGAGAUAAUAUACUUUUAUCGCAUGGUAGACGCAUCAAAGCUUUUGCGGUACAGGAUGGACCCGCGUCUGAUUAGCUAGUUGGUAAGGUAACGGCUUACCAAGGCGACGAACAGUAGCCGACCUGAGAGGGUGAUCGGCCACAUUGGAACUGAUACACGGUCCAAACUCCUACGGGAGGCAGCAGUGGGGAAUAUUGCACAAUGGGCGAAAGCCUGAUGCAGCAACGCCGCGUGAGCGAUGAAGGCCUUCGGGUCGUAAAGCUCUGUCCUCAAGGAAGAUAAUGACGGUACUUGAGGAGGAAGCCCCGGCUAACUACGUGCCAGCCGCCGCCGUAA
This 468-nucleotide ribosomal RNA is filed under the name uncultured bacterium. RNAcentral's name for it is "partial 16S ribosomal RNA". It matches the Rfam family "Bacterial small subunit ribosomal RNA", at positions 28 to 523 of the family's 1533-position model. The record is from RNAcentral.